This 305-nucleotide ribosomal RNA is filed under the name uncultured bacterium. Its description in RNAcentral is "bacterial SSU rRNA". It matches the Rfam family "Bacterial small subunit ribosomal RNA", at positions 333 to 636 of the family's 1533-position model. The record is from RNAcentral.
UGUGCCCUACGGGGCGCAGCAGUGAGGAAUAUUGGUCAAUGGGCGGGAGCCUGAACCAGCCAAGUCGCGUGAGGGAAGAAGGUACUGAGUAUUGUAAACCUCUUUUGCCAGGGGACAAAGGCGGCCACGGGUGGCCGUAAGAGGGUACCUGGAGAAAAAGCAUCGGCUAACUCCGUGCCAGCAGCCGCGGUAAUACGGAGGAUGCGAGCGUUAUCCGGAUUUAUUGGGUUUAAAGGGUGCGCAGGCGGUCUGUUAAGUCAGCGGUCAAAGCCCGGGGCUCAACCCCGGCCCGCCGUUGAAACUGG